AGCACGUCAAAUCCCCGCGUACAGCCUGAGGAAGUCAAGGAGAGAUACAUGGCUUGAGGAGCAAGAAAAGACUCAAAGAAUAACCCCUGCAAGUAGCAGAUCCGGGGUCCACGUGAACAAGGAGGUGCCCGGGAGAGGCUGAGUGAGGGAUGCUGCUUUGAGAGGAUGCCAAGGUUAACUGGGAAGCUUGUAGUUUUUAUGAGCUCCAGAAUAUUAUGGAUAUGGUCACACAAAGGUUCCAAAGAGCUCACCCACCCGUCAUCAGGGCCUGCGUGUUUUGAAGGGCUUCCCCCGCUGGUCUGUUCAAUUUAUGGCAUCAUAGUUCUGAAGUUCCCGUAUCCUAGAGCCACCUAGCUGAGUGAUUCUGGCCCAGGGUCUCGGCAGUCAAGCUGUCUCCCAGCUCUGCAGUCAUCUCAUCUGGCUUGACCAGGACUGAAGGGUCAGCUUUCGAGCUCACUCAAGUGUGAUGAGCAGGCCUCAAUCGCCUCAGACGACCAUCUACUAUCGCCAUCCUUAACAUAAAGGAGGCUACGUUUGUAUCAUCACAAUUGCGCGAUUGAACUAUAGGGGAAGAGAAAUGUCUUUUGGUUUCUGAAUGCUUCCUCUUGAUGUUUCUGUUGCCCUUAAAAGAAAUUUCAGUGAUGGUCCGGAUGACUGGAGGCCACAGUGAGUUAUUGAAUUCAACCCCUCUGAGAGGCUCUGGGCUUUCCUGUGAUGGUGACAAGAUUGUCCAUGCUGGUCCGAGCAUCCUGUCUUUGCACAUCAGUGACCCGGGCCGGCAAGAAGAAGGGCAUGGCUUCCCCGCAGUGAGUUCUGUGUCAGUGCAGAGGUUCUCUUCAGGGUGAAGAGCCAAGGCUGUUCCUCCGGGAGGAUCAGCCCACGGUCCACAUCAAUUAAGUGAAAGAGCCUACAGAUUAGUUACCUGCUUAAGUGUGUGUACCAAGUCAACUUGUCUACUUGGCAGUUAUCUCUUCUUUAUAAAAUAGGACACAAGAGAAAACAUUUGACUUGUGUUUGGUCAGAUUUCCAAUAAAUAGAUAAUUUUAACCCAGAAUAUUUUGAAUAAUCUCAUUAACAUACCUCUGCAGUUGACUUCUCUGGAUUCAAUCUGAAUAUUGCUAGCAAUCGACUGUGACUACACUGGGCCAAACUUCAGAGUCUGGAAUCAUAAAGACCUAAGUUACAGGUAAUGGAGAUGACACCAGUGUCUGGGGCAGUUCAGUAGCAGCAUGAGCAUCAGCCUGAAUGGUGCUCCGAAUACCUAAGUGGGAAACAGAAGGAGAUAGAAGAGUGGACCAUGCAGAGUAUGGAGCAACUCCGAGUGGAGCUGGCCUGGGUCUUGAUGAUUCUAUGGCUCAUCGGGUAUAUAAUCAAUGCCCUGCAGAUUCUGCUAGAAGAGAGCCUUCUGGAAUAGGACUGAAGUUCUGCAUUAUGAAGGAAAAAAUAAAGAACGGUCUGCAUUCAAACCUCUGCCCCAUUAUAAAGAAAUUCUCUAAGAGGAACUGGGAAGUGCUACUAGAGUGUUGGAGAGCUCGGAUAAAGGUCAUAAUGGGAGUCAUGGAAGGGACUGGAGAGCUGUCAUCCUUUGCUAAUACGUUUUGCAAUGACUGUUUAAAAGCAA
Long non-coding RNA from Equus asinus (donkey), 1621 nucleotides. NCBI's taxonomy places the organism in Eukaryota, Metazoa, Chordata, Mammalia, Perissodactyla, Equidae. The record is from Ensembl.